UCUUCUGAUUUAGCGGCGGACGGGUGAGUAACACGUGGGCAACCUGCCCUGUAGAUUGGGAUAACUCCGGGAAACCGGGGCUAAUACCGAAUAAUCCAUUUCCUCACAUGGGGAGAUGUUAAAAGACGGUUUCGGCUGUCACUACAGGAUGGGCCCCCGGCGCAUUAGCUAGUUGGUGAGGUAACGGCUCACCAAGGCGACGAUGCGUAGCCGACCUGAGAGGGUGAUCGGCCACACUGGGACUGAGACACGGCCCAGACUCCUACGGGAGGCAGCAGUAGGGAAUCUUCCACAAUGGACGAAAGUCUGAUGGAGCAAUGCCGCGUGAGUGAAGAAGGUUUUCGGAUCGUAAAACUCUGUUGUGAGGGAAGAACAAGUACGAGAGUAACUGCUCGUACCUUGACGGUACCUCAUUAGAAAGCCACGGCUAACUACGUGCCAGCAGCCGCGGUAAUACGUAGGUGGCAAGCGUUGUCCGGAAUUAUUGGGCGUAAAGCGCGCGCAGGCGGUCCUUUAAGUCUGAUGUGAAAUCCCACGGCUCAACCGUGGAAGGUCAUUGGAAACUGGGGGACUUGAGUACAGAAGAGGAAAGCGGAAUUCCAAGUGUAGCGGUGAAAUGCGUAGAGAUUUGGAGGAACACCAGUGGCG
RNAcentral lists this ribosomal RNA (648 nucleotides) under uncultured bacterium. Its description in RNAcentral is "bacterial SSU rRNA". It matches the Rfam family "Bacterial small subunit ribosomal RNA", at positions 83 to 717 of the family's 1533-position model. The record is from RNAcentral.